UACGUAGGGGGCAAGCGUUGUCCGGAUUUAUUGGGCGUAAAGCGCUCGCAGGUGGUUCGAUGCGUCGGGCGUGAAAGACCCCGGCUCAACUGGGGAGGGCCGUGCGAUACGGUCGAACUGGAGGCCAGUAGGGGGAUGCGGAAUUCCGGGUGUAGUGGUGGAAUGCGUAGAGAUCCGGAGGAACACCAGCGGCGAAGGCGGCAUCCUGGACUGGUCCUGACACUCAGGAGCGAAAGCGUGGGGAGCGAUCCGG
This 253-nucleotide ribosomal RNA is filed under the name uncultured bacterium. RNAcentral's name for it is "partial 16S ribosomal RNA". It matches the Rfam family "Bacterial small subunit ribosomal RNA", at positions 524 to 776 of the family's 1533-position model. The record is from RNAcentral.